Molecule: long non-coding RNA, 1717 nt
Filed under: Marmota monax (woodchuck)
Lineage: Eukaryota; Metazoa; Chordata; Mammalia; Rodentia; Sciuridae
Source: RNAcentral
UUUUUUUUUUUAAUGUAGAACUUUGUCACUGUUUCCUAGCUCCUUAAUGGCUGGGAAAUUACUUUGGUAGAGAUAACUUUAAGAUUUGAGUAGCUUUUGCUAGACAGGACAGACAGACAGAUGAGUGCUGUAAAUGUCCAUUUGAGGAAUGCUUGACUGAAAUAGUUUCCCCUGCAAAACUUCCAUGGUUAAUGAGUCUUACAACAUUAAAGUUAAAGCCUGAUUUUUGGCAUGUACCCAUGAGGAAUACCAUGCUAAAUAUAGAUAGAAAUCUUCAUACAACAUGAAACAAUUUCUCUACUGAAGAUCUGAAAGAGGUAAGACAUAGGACGAGCAUUUUGAUUGAGGGAGUUAUGCUGUAAACAAAAAGAAAGUCGAAUUUUUGUUUAGAGGUGGGGCAUUACUAAGAAGGGCUUAUAGGAGGUGGUAUAAAAAGCAAAACAAUAUGAAAAAGCACAGGACAUUCUGGGUUGGGGAGGAAAUGGACGAUACUAGUAAGUGACAGAAAGGGACCCAUGUGUAGUGCUGUUUAAUAUUUUUGCUAAGGAGUAGCUCUGAAGCAUGGGAUGUGCUUUCCUGUUUUGUGAUUUAUUCACUCAUCCAUUUGAUGGAUAUUUAUUAAGUGCCUAAUAUGUGCCAUGUAUGUAUUAGUUCCUGCCUUCAAGGGAGUUAUAUUUCCAGUAGAGGGGAGAUAGAGAUUUAAAAAUUCAUAUAAUGUGACAGGUAGCAAGUGCUGUAAAGAAAAAUAAAGCAGAGUGAGAGUUAUGGGGUUUCUGUGUCUCAUAGUGGUCAGAGAAGGGAGAAGCAACAGAUGAGGACAGAGAGGCAAAUGGGGGAGAACCUCAGAGGUUCUCUAGGACUCUAUGAAUCAUGGUUAAGUUCUUUAGAUUUUGCUCUAAGGUGGGAAACUUAUGCAGGAUGAUCCUUCUAUAGAUGACAAUAUAGUGGAAAGAGCUUGGAUUUUGGAGUAAGCUACACUUAAUCCUUUCUCUGCUGAGUGUCAACUAUAUAUAUGUUCUCAUGUGUAAACAGGGCUAUUAAUUUCCUUCUGCUUGUGUAGAAGUAAAUGAGAUUGUGUAUUUAAGGUUCUUAGCACAGUGGUUGAAAACACAUAGUUAAUUUUGUCUCCAAUAUUAUUGUUACUAUAAAUAUAAACGAAGCUCCAAGAUACUUCAUUUGUUGUUUGUUGCUUUUUGCAGUGCUGGGGAUGGAACCUUGGGCCCUGAGCAUGCUGGGCAAGGCUCUACUACUGAGCCACAUUCCCAGUCCCGCUCCAUUUGUUUUUAAUAAGUCUGUUGAUCAUCUUGAAAAAGUGGUUCUGCAAUAUUUCUGAGUAGGUGCGCGACUAAAGAUCUGCCAUGUGUUAUUGCAAUAUUUUCUGAGAAUGCUCUGGUGGAGACAAGGUUCAGGCUGCUCACAGCAAAAAUCAGACUUCCAUGAUAGUGGCUAGCCACUCUGAUGCUUUUGUUGUCCCCUAAAAAUGUAAAAAAAAAAACAAAAAACCAACCAGCAGGCAAUGCUUACAUCUUCUUUGGGAGGUAAUCCAGACCAGAUGCAUGAUUUUCCUUCUUGGCACUUAAAUAUACAAAUAACUUAAGCUCAAUAUCUGACACAUAAUAGGUGUUUAUUGAGUGAAUAAAUGGAUGAACAAAGAAUAAAGACAUAACAGUGGUGUAUCAUUCUGUACUUAUAAUCUGUGAACGACCUUGAAUAAAUU